This is a long non-coding RNA of Prionailurus viverrinus (fishing cat), 136 nucleotides long. RefSeq lists it as uncharacterized. Lineage: Eukaryota; Metazoa; Chordata; Mammalia; Carnivora; Felidae. The transcript has 3 exons. The record is from RefSeq and is a predicted model, not a curated record.
AAAAAGCAGGAAAAAAAACAUAGCAGGAGACCUAAGCAAAACAGAGAUAAGUAAUAUGCCUGAUAGAGCAUUUAAAAGUAAUAAUCGUAAAGAUUCUCACUGGACUUGGGAAAAGACUGGAGGACAUCAGUGAUAC